RNAcentral lists this ribosomal RNA (306 nucleotides) under Triticum aestivum (bread wheat). RNAcentral describes it as "partial small subunit ribosomal RNA". The record is from RNAcentral. Lineage: Eukaryota; Viridiplantae; Streptophyta; Magnoliopsida; Poales; Poaceae.
AUGGAGGUAAAGAGAGUUUACUUGAAGACGGAGCAUGGGUAUACUUUCAACGUCAAAUUAUAUAAUGGAGACACAUACACCCAUUUUGAAUGCAAAACUUGGCAGGCACUAUGCAAGGCUUAUGCAUUUGAGCCUGAUAUGGUUAUCACCUUUGAUAUUCGUUCGGAAAAUGAUACUAAAGGUAAUAUAGACAUCUGGGUCGAUGUGCAAACGCCUCUAGUUCUACCAUUUGGUGAGUUUUUCUCAACCAUGCAUGCAUAUGUUUAUGUCUUUGAUACAGUUUAUUCAAAAAUAGUUGACAACUAA